AACUCACUCCAGCAUUGACACAACACAGUCUGCUGAAGCAUUAAAUAUUAUCCUGCUUUGGAGCAACAUUUUCGCGCUAGCGCCGAGCCCGAGGGGGUAUGUCAGAUACCGAUUGCUUUGUUCUCAUUUGCCAUGGGGGAAAGAUGUAUCUUCCAAACGCUCAGGAAACUCACGUUGCUUUUGAGAAAUACUGUGAUUGGAUGUUCCAAACAAGUUUCACUGAAUCCUGACCCAAUGGACAUCAAAGCCAGGGAAGAGAUUGUCUUCAAGAGUCAUCGAUUGUCCUCAGCAAACCUCAGGGAAGGUAUUUUAAAUCUUUAAUGCAGUUUUAGGAACCUUAUUUUAGC
Long non-coding RNA from Aquila chrysaetos chrysaetos, 347 nucleotides. RefSeq lists it as uncharacterized. NCBI's taxonomy places the organism in Eukaryota, Metazoa, Chordata, Aves, Accipitriformes, Accipitridae. The record is from RefSeq and is a predicted model, not a curated record. The transcript is spliced from 3 exons.